UGGGGGAUAUUGCACAAUGGGCGAAAGCCUGAUGCAGCAACGCCGCGUGAGGGAAGACGGUUUUCGGAUUGUAAACCUCUGUCUUCGGUGAAGCAACAAAUGACGGUAGCCGAGGAGGAAGCCACGGCUAACUACGUGCCAGCAGCCGCGGUAAUACGUAGGUGGCAAGCGUUGUCCGGAAUUACUGGGUGUAAAGGGAGCGCAGGCGGGGAGACAAGUCAGCUGUGAAAACUAUGGGCUUAACCCAUAAACUGCAGUUGAAACUGUGUGUCUUGAGUGGAGUAGAGGUAGGCGGAAUUCCGAGUGUAGCGGUGAAAUGCGUAGAUAUUCGGAGGAACACCAGUGGCGAAGGCGGCCUACUGGGCUCUAACUGACGCUGAGGCUCGAAAGUGUGGGGAGCAAACA
RNAcentral lists this ribosomal RNA (405 nucleotides) under uncultured prokaryote. RNAcentral's name for it is "bacterial SSU rRNA". It matches the Rfam family "Bacterial small subunit ribosomal RNA", at positions 355 to 774 of the family's 1533-position model. The record is from RNAcentral.